RNAcentral lists this ribosomal RNA (492 nucleotides) under uncultured bacterium. RNAcentral's name for it is "partial 16S ribosomal RNA". It matches the Rfam family "Bacterial small subunit ribosomal RNA", at positions 29 to 507 of the family's 1533-position model. The record is from RNAcentral.
AGUGAACGCUGGCGGUAGGCCUAACACAUGCAAGUCGAACGGCAGCACAGUAAGAGCUUGCUCUUACGGGUGGCGAGUGGCGGACGGGUGAGGAAUACAUCGGAAUCUACUUUUUCGUGGGGGAUAACGUAGGGAAACUUACGCUAAUACCGCAUACGACCUACGGGUGAAAGCAGGGGAUCUUCGGACCUUGCGCGAUUGAAUGAGCCGAUGUCGGAUUAGCUAGUUGGCGGGGUAAAGGCCCACCAAGGCGACGAUCCGUAGCUGGUCUGAGAGGAUGAUCAGCCACACUGGAACUGAGACACGGUCCAGACUCCUACGGGAGGCAGCAGUGGGGAAUAUUGGACAAUGGGCGCAAGCCUGAUCCAGCCGUACCGCGUGGGUGAAGAAGGCCUUCGGGUUUUAAAGCCCUUUUGUUGGGAAAGAAAAGCAGCAGGUUAAUACCCCGCUGUUCUGACGGUACCCAAAGAAUAAGCACCGGCUAACUUCGUG